GGGAAUCUUAGACAAUGGGGGAAACCCUGAUCUAGCCAUGCCGCGUGAGUGACGAAGGCCUUAGGGUCGUAAAGCUCUUUCGCCGGGGAAGAUAAUGACGGUACCCGGUAAAGAAGUCCCGGCUAACUCCGUGCAAGCAGCCGCGGUAAUACGGAGGGGACUAGCGUUGUUCGGAAUUACUGGGCGUAAUGCGCGCGUAGGCGGAUCGUUAAGUCAGGGGUGAAAUCCUGGGGCUCAACCCCAGAACUGCCCUUGAUACUGGCGGCCUUGAGUUCGAGAGAGGUGAGUGGAAUUCCGAGUGUAGAGGUGAAAUUCGUAGAUAUUCGGAGGAACACCAGUGGCGAAGGCGGCUCACUGGCUCGAUACUGACGCUGAGGUGCGAAAGCGUGGGGAGCAAA
Molecule: ribosomal RNA, 398 nt
Filed under: uncultured bacterium
Lineage: Bacteria
Description: bacterial SSU rRNA
Rfam family: Bacterial small subunit ribosomal RNA
Source: RNAcentral